RNAcentral lists this ribosomal RNA (226 nucleotides) under uncultured bacterium. RNAcentral describes it as "partial 16S ribosomal RNA". It matches the Rfam family "Bacterial small subunit ribosomal RNA", at positions 109 to 334 of the family's 1533-position model. The record is from RNAcentral.
CGUAACGCGUAUGCAAUUUGCCCAUAACUGGGGGAGUAGCCCGGAGAAAUCCGGAUUAAUACCCUAUAGUAUAAUGAAGAGGCAUCUUUUUAUUAUUAAAGAUUUAUCGGUUAUGGAUGAGCAUGCGUCUGAUUAGCUAGUUGGUAAGGUAACGGCUUACCAAGGCUACGAUCAGUAGGGGGUCUGAGAGGAUGAUCCCCCACACUGGUACUGAGAUACGGACCAG